Perognathus longimembris pacificus (Pacific pocket mouse) is the source of this 366-nucleotide long non-coding RNA. RefSeq lists it as uncharacterized. NCBI's taxonomy places the organism in Eukaryota, Metazoa, Chordata, Mammalia, Rodentia, Heteromyidae. The transcript has 2 exons. The record is from RefSeq and is a predicted model, not a curated record.
AUCUCGGCCUCCUGCGUGGCUAGGAUGGCAGGCGCGAGCCACCGGCCUCUGCUUUUCCCCUCCAGAGACCCCGAGGCGCGGUGGGGAUGGGCGUGGAGCUCCGCAGGCUGCUCUGGGUGCUCCCUGAGGCCGUGGCUGCCAUCCUGCGGGCUUGGAGGAGGGCACGGCCCCGGCAGGUCUGCAGCAACGACUUGAUAAUAAAAAGGAUGGAAAAGUCCGCUGUACAAAAGACGUGGUCAUCGUCCCCUUAGAAACAGCCGUGGGGAGCGCGAGUGCCGGCUGCGGAGCCCCCUCCCCACGCCCCCAACCAGCCCGGGGACCAGGCCGUGGAUGGACAAUGGAAAACAAUAAACAGUGUAACUGGAA